RNAcentral lists this ribosomal RNA (207 nucleotides) under uncultured bacterium. Its description in RNAcentral is "partial 16S ribosomal RNA". It matches the Rfam family "Bacterial small subunit ribosomal RNA", at positions 568 to 774 of the family's 1533-position model. The record is from RNAcentral.
UGCGUAGGCGGGUUUUUAAGUCAGAGGUGAAAUCCUGGAGCUCAACUCCAGAACUGCCUUUGAUACUGAAAGUCUUGAGUAUGGGAGAGGUGAGUGGAACUGCGAGUGUAGAGGUGAAAUUCGUAGAUAUUCGCAAGAACACCAGUGGCGAAGGCGGCUCACUGGCCCAUAACUGACGCUGAGGCACGAAAGCGUGGGGAGCAAACA